This 494-nucleotide ribosomal RNA is filed under the name uncultured bacterium. RNAcentral's name for it is "bacterial SSU rRNA". It matches the Rfam family "Bacterial small subunit ribosomal RNA", at positions 34 to 507 of the family's 1533-position model. The record is from RNAcentral.
CGCUGGCGGCGUGCCUAAUACAUGCAAGUCGAGCGGAAUGAUGAAGAAGCUUGCUUCUUCUGAUUUUAGCGGCGGACGGGUGAGUAACACGUGGGCAACCUACCUUGUAGAUUGGGAUAACUCCGGGAAACCGGGGCUAAUACCGAAUAAUCCAUUUUGCUUCAUGGCGAGAUGUUGAAAGACGGUUUCGGCUGUCACUACAAGAUGGGCCCGCGGCGCAUUAGCUAGUUGGUAGGGUAAUGGCCUACCAAGGCGACGAUGCGUAGCCGACCUGAGAGGGUGAUCGGCCACACUGGGACUGAGACACGGCCCAGACUCCUACGGGAGGCAGCAGUAGGGAAUCUUCCACAAUGGACGAAAGUCUGAUGGAGCAACGCCGCGUGAGUGAAGAAGGUUUUCGGAUUGUAAAACUCUGUUGUAAGGGAAGAACACGUACGAGAGUAACUGCUCGUACCUUGACGGUACCUUAUUAGAAAGCCACGGCUAACUACGUG